This 16041-nucleotide long non-coding RNA is filed under the name Populus tremula. RNAcentral describes it as "long non-coding RNA (PTRE_LNC000686)". The record is from RNAcentral. Lineage: Eukaryota; Viridiplantae; Streptophyta; Magnoliopsida; Malpighiales; Salicaceae.
UACUGGAAUCCUUCCGGUAAGCAAAUUCGAAGACAAAUCUAAUGAUUCCAGAUUGGUCAACAUUCCUAAUGAUGAUUGAAUAUGGCCUGUAAGGGAAUUAUGAGAGAGGUUGAGUUGUAGAAGUGCUUUAAGCUUUCCGAUCUCCUUUGGAAUCUCUCCGGUGAAACUGUUGCUUGACAAAUCAAGUAUUCCAAGAGAGCUUUGGAUUUUCGGAAACUCAAUAUCAAACCCUUUCCAUGUCACUUUUAUGGAAUAGGCAUAGUCAGAGUAACUUCUUGCCAUCAUGGAAACUGAAUUUUGAUCAGAGACCAUCAUUGCUUCAAAACUAUUAAAAUACCAUGUUGGCAAUGAUCCACUCAAAUUAUUGUUGGAGAUGUCGAAAAUCCGUAAUUUGGAGAAGGAAUUAUUAGCAAACGAACCAUUCAUAAAACCCUGGAGCUUAUUGGACUUUAGGACAAGAACAUGCAGCUCUGGAAGCAUUUGAAGGAAAUAGGGGAAUGCACCCUCAAUCUUAUUGUUGCCAAGAUCAAGAACUUCCAACGAUGUGCAGUUGAUGAUAGACGAUGGUAUUUUCCCUUCCAAUUCAUUGCCAUUUAGGUUGAGAUAUCCCAAGCUAUUCCCUUUUGAAAAUGGUGAAAAGAUAGUUCCUUGAAGAUUAUUCAUGCCAAGAUUCAAAAUUGAGAGAGAUUUGCUAAAGUUCCCUAAACAUUGUGGUAUAAAACCACUGAAGCUGUUGUUGGACAAAUCAAGGAGUCGAAGGAAUUUAAGCUUGCAAAUAGAAGAAGAAAUUUCACCUGUUAAUUUAUUAUUGGAUGCAAGAGCAAGGACUUCCAGGUUCUCUUGUUUGAAAAUUGAACUUGGGAUUGGACCAUGCAAGUGGUUGUUUCUCAAAUCAAACAAUUUCAAAGAACAUACUGAUUUGAGAAGGGAUAGGUCCUACAAGUUGAUUACUAGAUAAACGUAAAUUUUCAAGGAGAGUCAGGUUACCUAAAAAAUCUGGAAUCCUACCUGAAAAAUUAUUGCCAUCAAGAUAUAAGGAUUGAAGUUGUACAAGGUUUUUAAGUGAUGAUGGAAUCUGACCACUUAAAUUAGUACCUGAGAGUUCUAAACGAGUGAGGUGUGUGAGAUAGCCGAUCAGGGUUAGAUUUGACCUUGUGAUAUUAGAGUUUUUGAGAGCCAAAACUUCCAACGACUUUAGAUUUGUGAAGAAGUCAUUUUCUAAAUAAACUGAAAUUCUAGUAUGAGAAAGACCCAAUAACCGGAGGCUCUUACUCACAUUGGAUGAAGGAAAAGAGCCAGUGAGGUCGUCGUUGUAUGUCAAAUCAAGUUCUUGAAGGUUUGGUAGGAGAAAGAUGUUACCUGGGAACUUCCCUUUCAAUCCACAACCCCAAAGGCCAAGACCUAACAAGGAUGAGGACAGAUUCGCCAAGGAAUUAGGUGUGACCAAAGGCAUAUUUACAUAACCCAAACGGAGACCUCCUAGCUUGGUUAGGUUUUGAAUAAUCUUGUCAAAAGAACUUGGUUCUACAUUCAAAUUGUCAUUGAAAGACAGAUCAAUUGAAACCAACUCAGUGAGUUGGCCAAGAUCAUCUGGAAUUGAACCUGUAAGAUUGCUGUAUCUAAGAUCCAAGUGCUGGAGGUGCUUAAAUUUUCUCACUGAGGAUGGGAAUUUUCCUUGCAAUCCACAUGAAUAGACUGUGAGUGAUGACAAAGAAGAAGACAGAUUCAUCAAGGAAUUGGGUGCAGCCAAUGACAUGUUCACCCAUUUCAGAUAGAGUUUUCUAAGCUGGGUUAGAUUUUGAACAAGCUUGUCAAAAGAAAUUGGUUCUAGACUUAGAUAGUCGUUUUCGUUUCCAGAGAGAGCAAGUGAAACCAACUCAGUGAGUUGCUCAAGAUCAUAUGGAAUUGGACCUCUAAGAUUGUUAUCUGCAAGAUUCAACUGCUGGAGGUGCUUAAACUUUCUCAUUGAGGAUGGGAAUUCUCCUUGCAAUCCACAGGAAAGGAGUUUGAGUGAUGACAAAGAAGAAGACAGAUUCAUCAAGGAAUUGGGUGUAACCAAUGACAUGUCUACUGCACUCAGAUCGAGUUCUCUAAGCUGGGUUAGAUUUCGAGCAAGCUUGGCAAAAGAAAUUGGUUCUAGACUUAGAUAGUCGAUUUCGUUUCCAGAGAGAGCAAGUGAAACCAACUCAGUGAGUUGCCCAAGAUCAUCUGGAAUUGAACCUGUAAGACUGUUUUUUCUAAGAUCCAACUGCUGGAGGUGCUUAAAUUUUCUCAUUGAGGACGGGAAUUCUCCUUGCAAUCCACACGAAUAGAGUAUGAGUGAUGACAAAGAAGAAGACAGAUUCAUCAAGGAAUUGGGUACAACCAAUGACAUGUUUACCCGACUCAGAUCGAGUUCUCUAAGCUGGGUUAGAUUUCGAACAAGCUUGUCAAAAGAAAUUGGUUCUAGACUUGGGUAGUAGUUUCCAGAGAGAUCAAGUGAAACCAAUUUGGAGAGAUGAGAGAUUUCCGACGGAACUUGACCUGCAAAGCCUGAGAAAUUUAGGUUAAGAUGUGUCAGAUUGGAGAACUGGCCAAAUGAAGAAGAAAUAUGAGAGCUUUGGAAAUCAUUGUCAGAGAGGUCGAGGUUUUGAAGAUGAUGCAGGGAGAAGAGAGAAUUAUUGGGAAGGAAGGUUCCGUGAAGCAGCAGUCUGUACCCUCUUUCCACGACUCUGUCUUGGGAUGCUGGCAACGAUAUGAAGCAGAGCUAUUAAUGGAAAAGGACUCUUUGAAUUGGAGCAAAGAAAGGCUUUGGUCAGGAGCACAGAGAUGAGAUGAAGAGGAGUAAUUUGAUGAAGAAAUUGUUGUGUGAAAAUGGAAGAGAAACAGAAUGGAAGAGAGAAAUUGAGAGAGGGACAGUGGUGAAAACCCCAUGUUGGCUGGCCUUACAGGAUUCGAAAGUAUAUUUGGAGUGUUGAGCGAAAGAUGAGAAAUAAAGAUUCGCAUUGGAACUAUUUAUACACAAACCAAUCAAGAUUGUGCUAUUCAAAUUAUUGUAGAUAUUGAAAGCGGACUUUUACAUGAAAAUAAUUAUAAUAAGAAAAAAAAAAAACAGUUUAUUAGCUUACGACGUGGUCUGUCCACUGGGAAACAUGAGUGGCCAUAAACAAAGAAAGGAAAGUUCAGCGUAGUCACGAAGUCCUUUUUCUUGACCCCAAAGUCUUCGUUUCUAGCAAGGGUUGUUUGAUAUUGAGGUUACUGUUAUGGUUAUGGUUUUAAAAAAAUUGUUUUAUAAAAAAUAUUUUUAGUUGAGGUUGGUUUGAAAAAAUAUAUGUUUUGUUAAAAUUGUGGUUGAAAUUGAGGUUGAACAAAAAAUAGUUUAAUGUGUUUGGUAAAAAAAUACUUUUCAAAUUGAGGUUAUAAAAUAAUUAAUAUAUAUAUAUAUAUUAAUGAUUUUUAAUUUAAAUAUUUUAGAUUUAACCACUGUUAUUAUAUUAUAAAAUAAAUAUAAAGAAUCAAAUAUUAUCUUUCAUUAAACUAUAUGCAAUGUCAUUACAAUACAAAUCUAUCAACAAGGACUAUAUUUUUCAUGUUUUAAGCGCGCAACAACAAAAACUGAAUUUUUUAUCAUUAAGUGAUCCUUUAAGUUAAUAAAACACAAUAAAAAAAUAAAAAACUGAAUUUCUUUAUAUGUUAUUAAAUAUAUAAAUAUUAGUUUUUCAAGUAAAACACAUUUUUAAAAAAAAUUUACAAUUUAUUAUGUACAAAAUUCAUUCGACAAAACUACAGAAAAAAAAUUUUUGAGCGUGCAAUAAAUUAAGUAAAAUAUUAUCAUGAAUAAAAUUGAGAUUACAAUACGAGUAAAUUUAAUUCACCUUAAACUAAUGUUUUUUAAAAAUAACAUUGUUCAUGUUCACAUGAAUAAUGCGAGUAAAAUCAAUUAAUUGCAUUAAUAUUUCAAGAAAAAAAAACUUCUUGCAAUGUUUUUUAAAAAAAAAAAAAAAAAAAAACUAUAAUCGUGCGAGUGAAUUAAUUCACUCGCACUGUUGCAACAGUGGAGCCAUGCUCCACUGUUCUGCUUUUGAAUCCUAUGAGAAGCAACAAAUUUUGCUGCUUCUCCAAAACAUGUGGCGCGGCUGAGAAUUUGAUGGGUCCCACCAUCAAAAAGCAGUUUUCUUUUGUUAACCAAACGGCAUUUGGUGUGGCUGCGGGUGAACCUCAAAAUUUGUUACCAAACGGGCACUAAGUGGGUGUUUGGUUUUGUGGUUGCAGGUGAGGUUCACCCGCAACCACAUAUUUUAGUGUUUGGUAAUAGGAAAAAAAAUGAUUUUCACUGGUGGGACCAUCAAUUUUAACGGCUGCGUCACAGGUUCGGAGAAGCAGCAUUUUGCUGCUUCUCAUGCUGAGAAUAACAUCAACAGUGGAGCCAUGCUCCACUGUUCAUUGACACAUUGAACAGUGGAGCCAUGCUCCACUGCGCACUGUUCGCUAAGUGAAUAUUUUUUUUUUAAAAAAAAAAACCAUGAAAAUGAGUUUAAAUUUUUUUUUUGUUUUUUUAAAAAUUAUAAUAACAUACCAUUUAUGAAAUUUGAUCGCAAUUCCAAUUAUGUUAUUACCAAGUCCGGCCCAGUUAAAAAAAAUUCAGUUUUUAUUUUUAUUUUAAUUGUGUUCUAUUUAAAAAAUUAAAAAGAGAUCGUUUGAUGACGUAAUAAAAGAUUCAGUUUUUGUUAUUGUGCGCUUAAGAAACCAUGAAAAAUAUAGUCCUUGUUGGAUAGAUUUCGCAUGUGAUGACAUUGCACAUAGUGUAAUGAAAUAAUAAAAAAUAUUUGAUAUCAAUAUUAUUUAUUUCAUGAUGUAAUAACAGUAGUUAAAUUUACAAUAUUUAAAUUAAAAAUCAUUAAUAUAAAUAUAUAUAUUUUUUAAUUAUUUUAUAACCUCAAUUUGAAAAGCAUUUUUAUUAACCAAACACAUUAAACUACUUUUUUUUUAACCUCAAUUUCAACCAUAAUUUUAACCAAACACCUAUUUUUUCAAACCAACCUCAACUAAAAGUACUUUUUAUAGAACAAUUUUUUUUUAAAUCACAACCACAAAAGCUACUGCAAUACCAAACACAUCCUAAAUGAUUUCCCCGCAAAUUAGUGGUGCUAAUAAUUAAUUUUAUAGAUACUGGAUGUGGAAUUUUACAUGAAAAUAUUUUUAGGGAAAAAGAAUUACGACUGCUUUACAUACUGACUUUAGUUUCCAAAAAGAAAUCGAGGCACAACAUUUUCAAUAGAAAGAAUUGUUUUUUAAUAAUUUACAAACGUAGUUAAUUCACAUCUUAGGUAUGUGGCCAUGCAUGAUUUAAGCACCAAAACGUAGAUAAAGUAUACAAGAAAUUACUGUGUCUAUUAUUGAAUACCCUUUUAAUGUUUUGAACUUAAACUGUGAGAUUAUUGAAUAGAUCAUCCAUUUCUCUUUGGAGUACUAUUAAUGACUAAAAUGCCAUUAAAAUAAUUAGCAUGUUACUACCUGCUCCAUUUUAAUGAUUUGAUUUGAAGUGGUAGUCCUAAAAGACGUUUCCAUAAUUCAAGUGCAAGCUAUUUAAUUUAUUUAUUUUAUUGUUGCUAGCGAACUCUUCUUUGUUUCUUUUUCAUGAGUUGCCUAUAGAGCAAACGGUUUUUUAUUGUAUAAUCUACGUUCACAAAUGAAGUGGCUCCAUGAUUUUUGUUGAGAGUAGAUAAUAUCCCUACAUUUACAUUUGCAGCAAGUUUUUGUGCCAGUCUUCGGUGCUGAAUAUGGAAUUGAAGAUUGAAUUAUUCAAUUAUAAAUAUUUCUGUACAAGUAGGUCCCUUAGUUGACUAAACAAUAGUGUUGGAAACACGGCAAUAUUAAUUUUUAUAAUUGAUAUUUUUUGUGGAAAUUAUUUCUUAAUAUUCAUAUAUAUAAUUCAUUAACAAUUUUGGGUAAAGAGACGUAAGGAUGAUAUCCCUUCAUAUUUACAUCUGCAGAAAGUGUAUGUGCUAAUAGAUACAGUUUGUGCUGUAAUUAGAAAUUUUUUUGUAGCUCGUCUGAUGGUCUGUCCUUUUCCUCCUUGACCUAACUUGGAAAUAAUGUCCAACAAUUACGUGUGGAAAUGAUGGAAUUGAAUGUUGAAUUAUUCAAUUGCAAAUAUUUCCAUACCAGUAGGUCCCUUAAUAUUUCCGUACCUCCUUGACUAUAAUGUGAAUCUCAGAAGCAGGCAUUGUCCCACCUCUGGACUUCGAGCAAAAGCUCUUGAAAAAAUUGGGAAUUGUAUAUGACUUAUUCCCUGGGAAACAUAAGUGGCCGUAAACAAAGAAUGGAAUGUACAGCGGAGUCACGGAACUAAACUACCAAAGUCUUUUAGGGGAAAUCACUUACGACUUGGUCUGUCCUUUUACUUGACCCCAAAGUCUUUGUUUCUGGUAAAUAAUUUUCCCGCAAAUUAAUUAAUCUUAUAGAUAUUGGAGGUGGGAUUUUACAUGAAAAUAUUAUUAGGGAAAAAAAUUGUGACUGCUUAAUGUGAAUGUUCAGAGAAGUUUUUCUAAAGUGUAUUUAGGAAUGGAAUUUAUGUGAAGCUUGCUUUACAUACUGAAUUUAAUUUCCCAAAAAAAAAAAAAAUCCGACCACAAAAUUUUUCAAUAAUUUACAAACGUAGUUAAUUCACAUCUUAGGUAUGUGGCCAUGCUUGAUUUAAGCACCAAAACGUAGAUAAAGUAUACAAGAAAUUACUGUGUCUAUUAUUGAAUAGAUCAUCCAUUUCUCUUUAGAGUAAUAUUAAUGCAUAUAAAUCUCAUAAUAUUCUUUAUAUUUAUGUUAGCUGUAUAGCAUCUCAAGGGCUUUUUUCUAUUUGAAGGUUUUAUUAUUAUUGCAUUCUACCUCAAAAUCAAUAAAACUUUGAUUAUUAUAUAUAUAUAUAUAUAUAAAAUCAUAUUAAAUCAUUAUUGUUCACAACUUUGUGUACCCAUCGAGCAAAUCGGAUGUGUCCAAUUGGAGAGAUAAAAUUAUGGAAGGAAAAAUAUUGGAAACCAAAUAUAGAAGAUAAAAAACUGAUCCUUUAGUCAAAUAAAAUACGUUCUAGCAAAUUCCUCAAGUGAUUUUAAAUCUAAGAGCAACCUAUUUAAUUAGAAUAUUUCAUUUAUAUUUUUUAGUAGAGAUUCCUAAUGACAUUUUUUCUUGAACAAGUGAUUUCUCGGCACUCCUCAAAUAAUUUCUAGCCUGACAGACAAACAAACAAAUAAAUCACUUAAAAUUCUCAAACAAUUAUAUAUAUAUCACAGUUAAUUACUUUUUGACAUUUUUUAUCACAUUUUAUUUAUUUAUUUAUUUAUUUUAUAAGUUGGUGAUUAUUUUUUAUAGAAUGUUUACGCACAUAUUGAAUAGAUAUGAACGUCAAUUACCUCACAAAGGGUGUAAGCAAAGGGGAAAAAAAAGAACAAAAAAAGAGGAAAAGUAAAUACUUGAGAUAUAUAAAAUAUGACUAAAAUGACUAAAAUGAGAAACCCUAUGUCAAACUAUCGCUUUAUAUUAUUUUAAAUGACUAAAAUGCCAUUAUAAUAAUUAGCAUGUUACUACAUUUUAAAUGAGUUUAUGAUUUGAAUUGGUAGUCCUAAAAGUUCUUUCUUUUUUCAAGUCUGUCCCUUUCAUUGACCUUCAAGUCUCCGCAACUAAUUAAAAUAUAGUGUCAAACAAGUGGCGCAAAACAUGGGGCUGAAGGUUUAAUUAUUGAAAACUUCAAUAUUUCCAAGUGUUGGAAACACCGCAAUAUAUAUUAGUUUGCAGGAUAAUUUUUGUAAUAUUGGGCUUUUGUUGCGGAGUAAUUGAUUAAUUCAAGUGUUUUUUAUUUAAGAAUAUAUUAAAAUAAUAUUUUUUAUUUUUUAAUAAUUAUUUUUAAAAUCAGUAUAUUAAAAUGUUACUACAUUUUAAAUGAGUUUAUGAUUUGAAUCGGUAGUCCUAAAAGUUCUUUCUUUUUUCAAGUGUGUCCCUUUCAUUGACCUUCAAGUCCCCGCAACUAAUUAAAAUAUAGUGUCAAACAAGUGGCGCAAAACAUGGGGCUGAAGGUUUAAUUAUUGAAAACUUCAAUAUUUCCAUACAAGUGUUGGAAACACGGCAAUAUAUAUUAGUUUCCAGGAUAAUUUUUGUAAUAUUGGGCUUUUGUUGCGGAGUAAUUGACUGUUUGAGAUUACUGAUAGUAGUUAUGAAUUAAAGUGUUUUUUAUUUAAAAAUAUAUUAAAAUAAUAUUUUUUAUUUUUUAAUAAUUAUUUUUAAGAUCAGCACAUUAAAAUGAUUUAAAAAAUAAUUUUUAGAGAAUUUUAUUUUUGAAAUUUAAGGGAAUGCGGUUUCAAUCGCGUUCCCAAACGAUAAAUGUUUGGAAAUAUAGUUGUGGUUACUUUUCAAAGUGUUUUUCACUUGAAAAUGUAUCAAAAUAAUAUUUUUUUUUUAAAAUAUUAUUUUUGAUAUUAGUGCAUCAAAAUGAUCUUAAAAAAAAAAAAAUUUCUUUUUCAAAAACACUUUUAAAAUACAAAAACAAACAAAACCUCUAAAUCAUAUACAUAAUAAGAAUAUGCAAUGAGUUUUUUUUCUUAAUGAAAUACGAGAGAUUUAUUCGAUCACUAUUAUAGCCAUUAAAAACAUAGCUUAAUAGAUAGAAAGAAGAGCACUGAAAAACUCAGAAGAGUGAGAAAACUUACUAGCACAACUAAAUCCACAACUAAGUCAUUUUCUCUAAGAACUCUUGCUUGACUAAAUGAUCUGCAACAAUAUUAUUUCUUGUAUAUAAUUUUUCAAAAAAAAAAAAUGAACACACAAGAUUCUCAAAAGGAUGAAUUUUCUUUAGUAAUUUACACGUAUAGUUAAUUCACAGCUUAGGCAAAUGGCAAGAUUCCUCGAUUAAAUAAUAUUUUAUUUCAUUAAUAAAUUUUCAUCAUACCAAGGGAAUUAAUUUGUAGAUGUUUAAUUGUAUUGUAAUUUUUCGACUUCAAAGAUUUUGAGAAUACUCCAAUUGCAUAACUUGGAAAUUCUAGGGUUCUAUCGUGGAAAUGGAGGAUUACAAAAAAGGUUUUAGGGAUGAGCUUUUUGCACCAAAGGCUGCACCUUCCAGCUAUAAAGAUGGAUUUCCAAGGUUUGAUAACAGCCAUUUAAAUAGCUUUUAGACCGACAAUUACAUGAAAGGAAAAAUUAGAAUUUCAAAACUGGUGGGAUAAGUAAUAUAAAAUCUAAAAUUACGUUAAAAAUUCAAAAUUCUACGCCUGAUUUGAAGUCCUUACCGAAGAAGUGGGCGAAGCCAGCGCUCCUAAAUAAAUUUGAGCGUGUUUUAACUGUCAUAUAAAAAGUUACAGUUUAUUUAUUUUUAUAACUAUAGGUAUUCGAGCUGGUUUGUCCAUACCUCAACUAAUUUCACGGGUUUUGAAGUUAAUAAACAUAUAAGUCUCUAGUAGUCCUAAGAUUUGUAAGAUUUGAACUGGUGAUCUCUAAAGAGCAAACUUAAAACUUGACCAAUUAAAUUACACCCUUCAAAAUUAAUUAUAGUCUAUUUUAUUAUACAGGUCAUUUAGCGCGAUGAGAUCACUUAUUGAGUUUAAAUUAAUUUGUCUAUAUGAUCCAAUAAAAUAUUUGCUAGGUUAUUUAUAUUGUCCAACUGAGAUAGAUUUGUAUCCAAUUGAUCACAUCCUCCUGCAUCAAAGAUUAUUACAUGGCUAAUAAUCAAUAAUGUACAAUCUCUCAAACUAUAUCGUGCAAUUAUUGAGGUAUCCAUAGACAUCUUAAUUUAAUUAAAUCGAAGUAUGAGGAAAUAAAGUUGUUAUGGUUGUCUCUCAUGGAAUUAAAAAGCUAAUCCUAAAAGGUGUAAUUUAACUAGUUAGAUUCUAAAUUUUUUUUUUAGGUCACCAGUUAAUUCAAGUUCUACAAAACUUAUGGCCACUAAAAACAUAAAUAAUCGUUAAUUUUAGGGUCCAUAAAAUUAAUUGAAAUACAUACAAAUUAACCCGGACACCAAAGUUAAUAAUAAUAAUAAUAAAAAAAAGCUUGUACAUAAGUUUUCACUCUGUUCCUGGUUUAUUAAAUCUCUUGUCAUGACCUAUUUCAUUGGUGGCUCGCCCCAUGCAAUUAAUAUUCAUGUGGAUUAUCCAAAGUAGCAUUUGAAUUCUGUAAAUUAACUUCCUUUUUGUUCAAUUUCCUAUGUCUUUAAAAUUUUGUUAUGGACAUAAGCCUAAUUAAGUAGACAACAUUGUAGUUUCGAUAUGCCAUAAUUUUUAUCUGAAUGUCCGAUUGAGGCUUGUGAAAACAAUGUAAAAAAAGAGAGAGAAGGGAAUUGAACUAGUUUGAAGAGUUUGAUUUAUGUAAUUCAUAAUCAAAAUCUGGAAUUAGCUAGAUUUGAAGCAAAGUGUGCUACGUACAAUGGCUAAUUUUAUCCUGAAAAUUCCCAUUUUGACCUGUGAGGCUAAGGCAAAUGAAACAGUUGCUAAUAAACAUUUCAUCCAUAGUUUUGAAACCCAGCCCAACACGGUAGGUCAACCCGUGAUCCGGAUGAUCCAGGGCUGUAAUAGGACCGGGUUGAAGAAAAAACAAAAGAAAAAAAAAUCUGGUGUAACCUGGUGGGCUGGUCAAGACCCGGCCUUAAACUCGUUGACUUUUAUUUUAUUUUUAUUUUUGUUUUAUUAAAACGACGUUGUUUUGAUUUUAAAAAAAAUGCCUUGGAUCGGGCCGGCCACCAAGCCGGGUCUUAAAAAUAUGAUUUCAUCUAACAUAUACACAUAAUUAAAGCAAAACAUUCAUGACUCUUUGGCAGAAUGUCGAUAGUUACUGGCCUUAGAGAGCAUAUUGUUAGAACCACUUAGGUGGAGAUUAGUGGUUCGGUCUAUGCCAUUAAGGUUACAGAAAAACCAUGCUUAGAGGUUAAUUCAAGUAGGGUUGAUAAAAAGAAGGUUGUGGAAAAUUGGGCUGGGAAGUUGAAUCCUUCCAACUUUGAUACUUUAGAAUCCUCCCAACAUGAUUCUCUCAAAUCAUCAUAUGCUGCUGCUGAGUAAUUUUGUUCUGAGGAGCCAAUGGAAGCUGGAAUACAUGGAGCAAAAAUUGAUGACACGAAUGAGACUGCUGUAUGUAGCCAUGGUAUGGAUAGGGAAUUCUCUUUUUGUGAUCCUGGGUGAACAUGUACUGCCUGAAAGAAUUAACAAGAAGGGUACUUUGAAUGUUGAUUUGCUUUCUCCAGAGAAGGGUUCUUUGAGGAAAUCUGUUGCUGAGGAGACAGAAACAACCGAUACCGACCCGAUAAAUGCAACGCUGCACUAACAAGCUUCCCUGCUACCAUAGCUGCUAUAAAAAGCAAUGGAGUCCAAAUUGUUGAAAAGCAGUCAGAGGAAAAUUUAAAUAUUGAUGGUGGGCUUAUCUCUAAUGCUUAUAUGGAUGAGUGGAGGAAUGGAUCACAGUGUAUUGGGCUAGAGGAAAACACACUCUCAAUAGUUCCAGUUAACACACAUGAGCCUCUGUUAACUACUUACUAUAAGGCUUCGGACCAACAACUGAUCUCAUUCAUGCUUAAAUGGCCCGGUGAAAUAUAAUAAAAACAAGAUGUUUGAGGUCUUCAUCACACCUAUAGCAGAACCAGAGGAGGUAGCUGAACUAGAGAAGGAAAAGAAGAGAAGUUCGAACAAAAGAAAGAAGAAACUUUCCUUAAAAUCAGCAACUCGUAAGGGGAGAACAUCAAGAAGUAGAAAAGAGAAGUCUGCUAACCUGGAAGAGUGAACUUUAGCAAUUAGAUCGACAAGGGGAAUCAAGAAAUGGAUUCCAGAUGGCAGCGUCUUCAAGUACUUUCCAAAUCUCUGUACGACAAACGCUUUCUUCUCCGGCACAAUCCGUACCCCCCAAUUCACAGGUGGCGUAAUCUCAUAACUAAUUAAUUAUAAUAAAUUAAUAAAAAAAAAUGGAAGAAAGACAGGGAGGGAAUGGGGAAUGAAUGUACCUGGUGAAGGGGUCGCGGCCGGUGCUGAGGAGGCGGACGGAGAUGGUGGAGGAGAGAGGAGAGGAAAGGCGGUUGUUUUGGGCUAAGUGAAAAGAAGGGGGUUUAAAUAAGGGAGAAUUGGAGGAGGGAGCGAGGAGGGUUCUGCCUCUGGAAGCGGUGGAAGCCGAUAAGGAGGAGAGGUGGUGGGAGGUUCUUACGGCGUUGUUGAGUAAUAAAUGACUCCUCCUCCUCCACAUUUUUCCGUCUCUCUUUGUUGUUGCUGUUGAAAAACCCUUGGCCUCCUUAAUUAUCGAACCCUCCCUCACUCUCACACUCUUCACUCUGAUCUGCUCUGCUGACCCUCUCCCCAAGUCACCCUCUCUCUUUUGUUCCCCCUCUGCCCACUCAAAUAAUUUAUUUUCCGAAGUUGUAAUUGACAGUGUGUGGUGGGUGGGUUUUGUUUUAGGCCCGACGUUUUAUAAUGGGCCUGUCUUUUUUUUCUUUUAGAGUUUUUGUUAAAGAAUUGAGAAAAUCGAGACUAAUAAUCUCUGAACAUGAAGAACAAUGAGAGAACGGCAUGAUUUUUAUAAUUUUAAUUUUAAUUUCUUAAGUUAGAGAGCUUAGAUUUAUAUAAAAGUGAGGUUUUACAAUUCAUGAAUAAUAAGACAAUUUAAUCAUAUUUAAUCAGAAAAACAAUAGGAUUAGAGGAUAAAAAGUAAUCCAAAUUACUUUGAUUGUUCGAACAAAUUCGGGUAGUAAAUUUCUUAAAGUUUCGGAGAAGAGGUAAUUCAGAGAGAAUUACCUCACAUUUAUUUGAGAUAAUUCAUUUAAAAUUCAAAAAUUUAAAUCAUCCAAAUUAUAAUUCUAAUUUAUUUGUAAGGUUUUAGAAAUAAUGAGAUUGAAAUUUUUCUUAGUAAAAAAUUUCUUGAGCCUAGUUUUAUUAAUCCAUAUUUUAAUGAAUUUCUUAUAAAAACUUAAUGGGGAAAUGGUAACAAUAGUAUUAAUUUUGGAUUACCUGAUUUUUUCAAAAUAGGGUUUAUACAUACUGCUAUAAAUUGAUAAUAAUAUUUGCAUCUCAGAAACAUAGAAACAUUUGAUCGUAAAUCUUCUGUUACUUUUGUGUUGCAUUAAUUACUGCUUGGAUCGACACGAAGGUAAAGAGCUAAGCAAGUUAGCUAGUAAUUUAACCGAUAAUAAUUAAGUAUUAAAGUGUUAAUCAAGAAAAAAAACAUUUCUAGUUUGAAUCUUAUCACUUGGAUUUCCCAACCCAACUUACAUAUAAGUAUGUGAUUGAUUAAAACUCUCGAGUUGAUAAAUUUUUGACCGUGAUUUAGCUCUCGAAAGUGAUCACUCACCCGUAGGCUAUGUCAGGAGUGAGUGCUUGCUAUGGAUAUAAGAAGAAGAAAAAAAAAAACGAAGGUAUGGAGCUCUACGUAUCCUUGUUAUUAGUAAAGGUUAUAUUCAUGUGGAAAAGUGGUUAUCUCUUACAUGAACUUUGGUGCUCCCUUCAAAAGACUGAAGAAUUUGAAAGUAGAAUGCAAAUGUGAUUCAUAUGUGCUACCGGCGAAUAUCUCAACCUUCUUACGUGAUGCUGAAUACAUAAAAAUGGGAGAACGAAGCGAAGAAGGAAUCGUAGGUAAGUACAUUUUCAUAAUUUUAUUUCUAUUUGCAGUCUGAAUCUUAAUUGAUUUUCGUUGAUUGUUAAUAUUCUCAAUCAAUUUCAUUGCUUAAUCUCGUUUGCCGUAUUCAUGCUUAUCCAAUAACAAUCGAAACCAGUAAACGUCCAUGAAUGUUCUAAAUCACUGUAGCAAUCUGGAAGCAGAAAAAUUCUUGAUAUGAAUUAUUCAUAAACAUGCAUGUUCUAAAUAAGGCUUUUGAAUCCUACGCUGUUAUCUCAUUGCAAUCCAAGUCCAUGGUUACGAGUGAAAUGCUCUGUUUCUGGCACCGGCCUCGUCGCUUCAUCGUUGCUACCCGUUUAAUACUGUAAGUGCUGUGAUAUGCCUCACCAUUUCUUGUAGGUGCGAGGUUGAUGUUCGACAGCUGCAUCAUUACGAGGAAUGAGUCGGUCUCGUUUGCAAGACUUGAAGAGAACAAGAAAGCUGACAGAGGGAGUUUGAAGAACAGCAAGGCAGUCUUAUUAUUCUGUGUGAUUUCUACUGUGCAUAUACAUAGUUUAUAUAGAAAAGAUCUUGUCUAAUAAGUAAACUGACAGACUAGCAACUAAUCUUUAGGAUUUAAUUACAAAAACUACAAUCAAACUAAAUCUCUAAGAAAUGAUUUACAAAUCAAGCUUUAAUUGUUUUGAUUCCGAAUCCUAACAAGACUAGCCACCAAAUUACAUCCAAAUUACAUAUUUGGUUUUUUUUUUUUUCCAGUUGCAAUUUGCGGCGGCAUCGCAUUUCCAGAAGCUAAGCUUUAACAAGGUUGCUUAUUCACAUUACUAUUUUGCAUGCAUAAAUCUAUGCUAGAAAUAUUUGGAACUAAUUACUUUGCCAACGCUUCUGUUUGCAUGAUAACACUACCCAAAAGUAGGCAAGGAACAGAGCAUUAGAGUUGGUUGUGAAACGAGGACAGCGCCUGGUUGAUCCGAGUGAUGGAGAAAAAGUGGAUGAUUGGAGUUCUCCCAUGGUUCUGAGGUCUUGAAAGAGUUCGACAGCGCCUGUUUUAUUCAAGAAGCUUUUGGUCUUCGUCACCAGGCAUGAGGUAUUUUAGUUGUAUGGAUUCCUAGCUUCUCAGAACUGGAGCUCUGAUACCAUAAAGAAAAUGAUAAUGCAAAUGUUUUCUGUAUUUUCUUUUUUCAAUAUUGCAAAGCUGUACGACAAAUAUAUGCAGUUUACAUACAAUCUGAUCCACCAUUCUAGGAGCUAUUCUAGGAUUAACUUUGAUAAACUGUUAAAGAAUCGAAAUGUCAAAGCAACCAAUCUCUUCACGGCGAAAUGUACUUCACAUAAAAAGCGCACUCCUAAAUAAAUAAAUAAUGUGAAUACCCUAAGAAAGGGUGAUUGAAGUAAAGAUGCAACAACUGCUGCAUGCAUUGGUUCUUUUUUUAUAGAUGUAACACCCAAACCUUGCAUCAAAGUUAACCAAAAAAAAAACACGCAAAUUAAGUGACUCGAAAAUAUUCCAUGUAUCGAAUAAAGCUAAUAAUAAAAAUAAAAUUAAAACACAACCAUGAAGGAAAACAGAAGCAGUACGAAAGAGGAAUCCAAUUCUCUGAAUCUGCCACUCUAGCGUUCUUCUCAUGUCAACCUCCACUUGGCAUCUCAUAAGGUAGCGAGAAUGUUUAUUCCAAACUUCACUGCAAUAGAGAAACAUACAAAUAAUUUUUUUUAUUUAAUGAAUCCGAAAGCGAAAGAAAAGACUAAUAAAAGGAAAUAGCACAGAAAAAAUAGCAUAAACUGUUGCACGUAAAACCUUAAGAUGUCAAAUGUUUGCAUAACUUACCUCAUGUUACUAGCUCCGUUGUUUAGUUUCUUCUUGCACCAUUCCUACGAGCAUUCUUCUUCGUUCUUCUUGCCUUCAGAUUCCAUAGAUCUUCAACCACUUUCAGAAACCAUGCUGGUUUUCUUGUUCUGAACACAACGUAUCCCAUUGUGACUCCAAACACAAACCCACUUCCAUACCCUAUUGCCACAGCUUUCCAUCCAAAUCCUUCUUCAAAGAAUUUUGAAUCAUCUCCAUCGUGAAAGUCUGAUGGCUGCAAUGGUGGUGCCUCGUCACUAGUGCAUUCUUUUGGGAUGGGGAAUCCACAUAGGCCCCGGUUUCCUUCAAAUGAGCUUGCAUUGAACGUGCUGAACUGCGUUCCCCCGGGUACGGGCCCCUCAAGCUGGUUAUGUGAAAGGUUUAUGACUGCAAGAAAUGUUAGAUGUGCCAACUGUACUGGAAUCCUUCCGGUAAGCAAAUUCGAAGACAAAUCUAAUGAUUCCAGAUUGGUCAACAUUCCUAAUGAUGAUGGAAUAUGGCCUGUAAGGGAAUUAUGAGAGAGGUUGAGUUGUUGAAGUUCUUUAAGCUUUCCGAUCAUCUUUGGAAUUUCUCCGAUGAAACUGUUGUUUGACAAAUCAAGUAUUCUAAGAGUGCUUUGGAUUUUCUCGAACUCAUACUCAACCCCUUUCCAUGUCACUUUC